UCGAAAGAAAUUGUUCAACCCUGUACUUCUCAGAUCAGUUUGAAUUUUGAAAUUCAAAAUUACUAAGUACUUUAUUUCUUCCAAUAUCUCUCUCUUUCUAUAUACGUUAUUUCUUUUACGAACUUGAAUUGCAAACAAAUUAUAGUUACAAGAUGAUGAUGGUGAUAAAUCAGUUGCCGAUAAUAUACUCAUUUGAAUUUUAGAUCUUGAUAUUUGAAUUCACAUCUAUCGCCUAUAUAGAUCUCUUCCUCUUCUUCUCCUGCUAUGUCUCUUAUACUAUUUUCUCUCCUUCUUUAAGAUGUUUAGGUUAUUUGUUUGAUGAAAUGAAAUACUUAUAUGAUUGUGAGAUUUUUCAGAUGAUAAUGAUUUACAUUGUGAAGAUGCUUUGGAUGCUUCGAUGUUGAUGGAUGACCACCGCCAUCGUUUUACAGAAAUAUUGGUUGUGAUCAAGGUGUUCGUAGAAAUGCCCCACUAAAUUCAGAUAUAUAGCCAUCUUCUUUGUGUGAGAAAAGAUAAGGAGUUGUGCCUGUAUUUUGUGAUGAUUAGUGCUGCCAUGAAAGCUGUUGCUGGUGUAAAAAUGGGUUUAAUGAGAACAACCAUGACGA
Daucus carota subsp. sativus is the source of this 605-nucleotide long non-coding RNA. RefSeq lists it as uncharacterized. NCBI's taxonomy places the organism in Eukaryota, Viridiplantae, Streptophyta, Magnoliopsida, Apiales, Apiaceae. The transcript is spliced from 3 exons. The record is from RefSeq and is a predicted model, not a curated record.